Homo sapiens (human) is the source of this 1673-nucleotide long non-coding RNA. Ensembl annotates it as long intergenic non-protein coding RNA 635. NCBI's taxonomy places the organism in Eukaryota, Metazoa, Chordata, Mammalia, Primates, Hominidae. The record is from Ensembl.
AUAGCAACAGCAGCGUAGCUGAACAUCUUACGGAUGGCCCAGGGCUCCAAAGGCUCGUUUCCUAAGUGAGAGAGAGCCUGGCUGAAGCUGUAUUACCAUUCAUUCUCCAGCCUCCGAAGUCUCAAAGCAUCACUUCCACCAUACUCUAACUGUCAAGACAAACACAAAGGCCCAGAAACUGCCAGACUGUCUUCUGAAGUGGCUAUAAUAUUUACACUCCCAUCAGCAGUGUAGAAGGGGUCUCACUAUGUUGUCUGGAGUGCUGUGGUGGAGUGGAGUGGCUAUUCACAGAGCCUGUUCUGCUGGGACACAGAAUCACUUGCUCCAUCUCAUACAUUGAUGAUGAUUAAUUUGUAUGUGUACCUUCCAAAAAAGAUGGUUGUGUUUGAAUGGAGGCCUUCUGGACAGGAAAAUAUGGAGAGUGCGUGCUUUGGAUUCAAGACUGGGAAUGAGGGGACCAGAAACCUAUUCUGUGGCUGUUUCUUGUUAGGACUUUCCUAAGCCUCUGGAAAAGACUAAUCUUUCCAAGUUCAUCUGAGGCUCCUCUUCUCCAUGACAACCUCAUCCAGGGAUUUCUUCCUGUCCUGGUGUUUUAUGACAUGUGGAAGGGGACUGUAGCAGGUGAUCUCCAAAGUCUCUGGAGACUUACUAAUGUGCAUCCUCAUCUCGCUUGUAAGGAUAAUAGCCUUCCUCCAAACCUCACACACUUUUGGAGGAGAUCACUUUUUUUAAAGUGCAUGGAAAUGUUUUGAAACAGUGAAAUCUAUAAUGAUAGGUUUCAUAAUUCUAACAUCCACACCAUAUGAAUCACAUCCUUCCUGAGAUAAUGAGCACACAAUUGCCUGGAUACCUGAAGGAAUGGAGACAGCGGCAGAAAACACUGCAGAGAGGUGGAAACAUCCGUUAAUAUUUUAAAAUCCCAUUACUGCUACCAACAAUAAUAAUGGAUGCAUAGAAAUAGAUCUGGAUUAGCUGAGCUUGAAACAGUCCAUCUCACACACACACAAAAGAAUUUCAGAUACAGUGAACCCACAUGUUGAAGCUUUCUAGUAUAAUAAAAAUUUCAACUGUUCUGUUGAAUCAUCUGCCUGAUUGGAGGCUACAGAAAAGAUGUCAUCUUAGGAGUGCUUGCUCUGAGUGAGGCUCAUCUUCAAAUCUGAAUGACCACAAGGAGAUUUGAUUAUACAUGUGAACACCUCAGAAGGCACAGCCCACCCAGAAGGCAGACAGGUCAGGCUGCUUUUUCUUCAUUGCUUGGAUUCAAUCCUCCGGGCGGCUCAGGCUCAAACAUAACUUAAGCAUGAUUAAACUUUAGAAGAAGCUGCCAGGAAGACUGUGAAAUCUUCAUGCCCAAGGAUCCCUAAAAUUAGGAGCAACAACCACUUGGCUCAGACGGUUUAUGGAGGCAAAGGUUUGGAUGGGAUUAGAGAUUUCUAAAUGUGAGUUCGUGUCCUCUGCCAGACCACCUUACUUCCACCAUUCCUCAGCAAAUCAAGAAAAACAGGAGAAAAGACAUGCCUUUCCAUAAGUUAAAUCUAUUCUGUUUUAAUUCUAUAUUAUAUCUGCUGUACAACUUCUUUUGUUUGUAACACCAUAUUGUUGCUAGUAACUGGAAAUUAAUUUUCACAUGCCUCAGCUUAGAAAAAUAAAAAGCAGCCCUGCAUCAAUCCCAA